UUUUUUUUUUUUUUUUUUGGCUUGAGUGUAAAUAUGGCUAAUAGAAAAAAAGGCAUAUCUAACAUUAGGAGCUUUUCACAAAUCUUAAGACAUUUGUUGUCAUAGCUUGAAACUCAGUCUACCUCUAUCAUAGUCGCCUCCACCAACUUAGUCAAAUCAAGUUAUGCUUUUCUUUGUCAAUCUUGAUAAAUCUUGCUAGGUUAUAGAUUCUGGAGUAAACAAAAAUAUGACAGCUUCUUCAAAUAAAUUCUCUAUAUGCUCAAGAAAAGAAAAAGUCCGUAUAGCAAACGAUUCUUUAACCACAAUUUCUGGUUAGAUUCUAUCACAUGCACUCCCAAUAUAAGUCUCAAUUUAGUUCUUUAAGUUCCAAACUUACCUAUUAGUCUUUUAUCUAUCAGUUCCAUUAUCCAAGCCCUUAAUUGCAAAAUUAAAUUUUUUUUUCCUACUCAUCGCAUAUUUCAAGAUUUAAGAACAAGAAAAACAACUGGCAAUGGUAGAUUGCGAAAUGAUCUAUAUAUGUUAGAUGAUGGGUGUGGUCCCUCAAAUCCUGGAGCAAACCACGCUUUAUUAGGAAAGCCAAUGAUUGCUAAUAAAAAGAUUAUCCAGUGGCAUAAGAGA
Molecule: unclassified non-coding RNA, 618 nt
Filed under: Hevea brasiliensis (rubber tree)
Lineage: Eukaryota; Viridiplantae; Streptophyta; Magnoliopsida; Malpighiales; Euphorbiaceae
Source: RNAcentral